CCAUGCUGCCGCUUGCCGCCUCCCUCCCCAACAACGCCGGCGGCUACCCCGUGCUUCCACCCUGCUUCCACCCCCCCAGCUCUUGGCGCCGGGAUGGCCGCCCGCACUGUAUCGAUGCGCCGCUGCCGCGUGCAGGAAGUUCAACGCCACAAUCCCCUACCGUUCUAUCUCGCUGUUGUUGGCGUGCCCCGCUCCAACUCCAUCGCCUCUGCUUCACUGGUGAAAUAGUGCAACCUGAGGAACCACGGGGGGUCAUCAUCAGUUCGUAAAGGAAAGUUGAAUCAGUGCAGUGUGCGUGUUCAAAAAAUAAUUUCAGUUUUAUAUUGUAUAGAAAAUUUAUAAUAGUUCCCACUUUUCAGUCCAUCUACUUCCCUAUCACAAGUCCAAUUAGUAGAAAUUCAAAUAUGAAAAUAGCAUCCAUUUUGUUCUGGUAAUCAUCUUGAACCAAUUUGGUAUGUAUCAGACUUUCAUAUGUUGAUUAGUAGGGUAGAUCUCUGUUGUAUAAGAAGUUAGAUGUUGAUUUGCAAUUAUGCUGUGACAAAAUUUUCAGUCAUCUUUUUCUUGUUGGUCCAGUGCAUGUCCCGCAAUGAGCCAGCUAGGACAGGGAAGUUGUUGGACACUGCCGUCUUCGUUGGCCGUCACGCUAUGAGUGGCUAUGGCCAUUGGUCACCAUUGGUCGUCGGCCGUUCUUCUUCGCCACCUCCUGAAGGUCUUCCACUGGCUCCCGCCCUUCCUCCGAUGUCAUCCACUUUGAAGACACUGACGCGCCCCAUCAGGUCGUGGAGCAAGCAUGGGAAAAAAGGGACUCGCAUCCCGUUGUUGCGCAAGCCCUGCUUCCCGCUGGCGGCCAUCUCCACGUAAGUUUGAUAUUUGCACUGCCCUGCUCGUGCAACGCAUUGUCGCCGGCAGCCAUUGUGGGCCCGUGCCUGGUGCUCUCUGUGUGUAGUGCCCAGGCCAUUCACUGCCUCCACACAAGGCUGUUUGACGACGCAACCCUCAAGCAGUUCACCCUUACCAGCACAAGCCGUUCACCUCCGCCACACGAGGCCGUGCGACGACGCAACUAUCAGAACGUUCAGCUCUGCCACAGGAGGCCGAUGCAAUGCUAAGAAUGUUUUGUUCUUUUUCAGUACAUGUUUUGUGUGCUUUUUAGUACACCUACUUAACGAUUCUAUGUCCAAUUUCCCCUGUUUAAGUGUUCUUCCUAUAGCACAACAAGAGUUGUGCGUUAUUCCUUAAUAAGAAUUUGAGAAAACCUUAUAUAUGGAUCGAAACUAGCAUAUGUUCUGUUCUAUUCUUGUAAAUGAAGCUCCACUUUUGUUUUGUUUGAGGUUA
Triticum dicoccoides is the source of this 1335-nucleotide long non-coding RNA. RefSeq lists it as uncharacterized. NCBI's taxonomy places the organism in Eukaryota, Viridiplantae, Streptophyta, Magnoliopsida, Poales, Poaceae. The transcript has 2 exons. The record is from RefSeq and is a predicted model, not a curated record.